Molecule: ribosomal RNA, 755 nt
Filed under: uncultured bacterium
Lineage: Bacteria
Description: bacterial SSU rRNA
Rfam family: Bacterial small subunit ribosomal RNA
Source: RNAcentral
AGUGGCGAACGGGUGAGUAACGCGUGAGCAACUGACCUUUUGAGGGGGAUAACAACAGAAACGGUUGCUAAUACCGCAUAAGACCACACUGUCGCAUGGCAGAGGGGUCAAAGGAGAAAUCCGCAGAAGGAGGGGCUCGCGUCCCAUUAGAUAGUUGGUGAGGUAACGGCUCACCAAGUCAGCGAUGGGUAGCCGAGCUGAGAGGCUGAUCGGCCACACUGGAACUGAGACACGGUCCAGACUCCUACGGGAGGCAGCAGUGGGGAAUAUUGGGCAAUGGGGGAAACCCUGACCCAGCAACGCCGCGUGAGUGAAGAAGGCCUUCGGGUUGUAAAGCUCUGUCAUUAGGGAAGAAGAAAGUGACGGUACCUAAUGAGGAAGCCCCGGCUAACUACGUGCCAGCAGCCGCGGUAAUACGUAGGGGGCGAGCGUUGUCCGGAAUUACUGGGCGUAAAGGGUGCGUAGGUGGCUAUUUAAGUUGGAUGUGAAAUCCCCGGGCUUAACUUGGGUGGUGCAUUCAAAACUGGAUGGCUAGAGUGCAGGAGAGGGAAGCGGAAUUCCUAGUGUAGCGGUGAAAUGCGUAGAUAUUAGGAGGAACACCAGUGGCGAAGGCGGCUUUCUGGACUGUAACUGACACUGAGGCACGAAAGCGUGGGGAGCAAACAGGAUUAGAUACCCUGGUAGUCCACGCUGUAAACGAUGAAUACUAGGUGUAGGGGGUAUGAACUCCCCCUGUGCCGGAGCUAACGCAAUAA